UUGAAACUACUGUUCUCAGAUGAGUCCGCGGUCCAUUAGCUAGUUGGYGGGGUAAUGGCCCACCAAGGCGACGAUGGAUAGCUGGUUUGAGAGGAUGAUCAGCCACACUGGAACUGAGACACGGUCCAGACUCCUACGGGAGGCAGCAGUGGGGAAUUUUGCGCAAUGGGCGMAACCCUGACGCAGCAACGCCGCGUGAGKGAUGAAGGCUUUCGGRCCGUAAACCUCUGUCAGRRGGGAAGAACCGUYUGUUGGAUAAUACCCCACAGACUUGACGGUACCUUYAGAGGAAGCACCGGCUAACUC
This 306-nucleotide ribosomal RNA is filed under the name Geobacter sp. VES-1. RNAcentral's name for it is "partial 16S ribosomal RNA". It matches the Rfam family "Bacterial small subunit ribosomal RNA", at positions 208 to 503 of the family's 1533-position model. The record is from RNAcentral. Lineage: Bacteria; Pseudomonadati; Thermodesulfobacteriota; Desulfuromonadia; Geobacterales; Geobacteraceae.